GAUUUCUGGCUUGAAACAUUUUGCCGGCCACGGUUUCGUGUGUUAGUGCUUGAUGUUCUGGCCAUCCUUCCAAUCGCUAUUGGCUAUUCUUCAUUGAAUGGUCAGUAGUAUUGGAUCUUUUACUUUGAAAAAAUUAGAGUGUUUCAAGCAGGCAUGUUUUGCUAUGAAUACAUUAGCAUGGAAUAAUAAUCUAGGACUUUCGGUUCUAUUUUGUUGGUGUUCUGGAGCUGAAGUAAUGAUUGAUAGGGAUAGUUGGGGGUGCUAGUAUUCAAUGGCCAGAGGUGAAAUUCUCGGAUUCCUUGAAGACUAACUUAUGCGAAAGCAUU
This 326-nucleotide ribosomal RNA is filed under the name uncultured Bodomorpha. RNAcentral describes it as "SSU rRNA". The stretch from base 113 to 326 matches the Rfam family "Eukaryotic small subunit ribosomal RNA", at positions 745 to 955 of the family's 1831-position model. Lineage: Eukaryota; Cercozoa; Glissomonadida. The record is from RNAcentral.